This 270-nucleotide ribosomal RNA is filed under the name uncultured bacterium. RNAcentral describes it as "partial 16S ribosomal RNA". It matches the Rfam family "Bacterial small subunit ribosomal RNA", at positions 28 to 300 of the family's 1533-position model. The record is from RNAcentral.
GACGAACGCUUGCGGCGUGCCUAAGAAAUGCAAGUCGAGCGGGGUGUAGCAAUACACCUAGCGGCGAACGGUCGCGUAACACGUAAGCAACCUGCCGGAAAGACCGGGACAACCGCCCGAAAGGGCAGCUAAUACCGGAUGUGGCCCUCCUGUUGCAUGGCAGGAGGAUUAAACCCUCGCAAGGGGGCUUUUCGAGGGGCUUGCGGCCUAUCAGCUAGUUGGUGGGGUAACGGCCUACCAAGGCGACGACGGGUAGCUGGUCUGAGAGGA